RNAcentral lists this long non-coding RNA (402 nucleotides) under Panax ginseng (ginseng). Its description in RNAcentral is "long non-coding RNA (PGIN_LNC004132)". Lineage: Eukaryota; Viridiplantae; Streptophyta; Magnoliopsida; Apiales; Araliaceae. The record is from RNAcentral.
UUUUUCUUCCUGGUUAGCCUUAUACAUAGUUGCUUCUCAUCUACUUCUAUAGAUGUAGGGUCCCACCCAAAGCAGCAAAUAUAAAUGGCUUCCAUAACUUUUUAAGAUUGAGCUUCCAUCAAGCGUCCAUGAGCAAAAUUAGUUAGAAUUAAAGAAAACUUACCACCAGAACCAUUACCACCUGAGAACAUUAUUUCUAUCAGAACUAUACAGAAUUUCCAGUUUAUCUUAUCACUGCCCUUGUUUCCAAACAUACUCCAUCAGAAACUCUACAUCAUAUCCUUUAGCAAACUAUUUAUCUUAUGAUAGUUUUUCUCGAUCUUAUAUUGCUGCAACUAUAUAUUAUCAAACCUAAACCCACAACUUACAAUUAAUUAGCCGUCAAAUAAGAGACCAUUGGUG